UUCCGGUUGAUCCUGCCGGACCUGACUGCUAUCGGAUUGAUACUAAGCCAUGCGAGUCAUUGUAGCAAUACAAGGCAGACGGCUCAGUAACGCGUAGUCAACCUACCCAAUGGACGGGAAUAACCUCGGGAAACUGAGUAUAAUGCCCGAUAGAACAUUAUACCUGGAAUGGUUUAUGUUCCAAAUGAUUUAUCGCCGUAGGAUGGGACUGCGGCCUAUCAGUUUGUUGGUGAGGUAAUGGCCCACCAAGACUAUUACAGGUACGGGCUCUGAGAGGAGUGGCCCGGAGAUGGGUACUGAGACACGGACCCAGGCCCUAUGGGGCGCAGCAGGCGAGAAAACUUUGCAAUGUGCGAAAGCACGACAAGGUUAAUCCGAGUGGUUUCUGCUAAAGGAACCUUUUGUUAGUCCUAGAAACACUAACGAAUAAGGGGUGGGCAAGUUCUGGUGUCAGCCGCCGCGGUAAAACCAGCACCUCAAGUGGUCAGGAUGAUUAUUGGGCCUAAAGCAUCCGUAGCCGGCUCUGUAAGUUUUCGGUUAAAUCUGUUCGCUUAACGUACAGGCUGCCGGGAAUACUGCAGAGCUAGGGAGUGGGAGAGGUAGACGGUACUCGGGAGGAAGUGGUAAAAUGCUUUGAUCUCUCGAUGACCACCUGUGGCGAAGGCGGUCUACCAGAACACGUCCGACGGUGAGGGAUGAAAGCUGGGGGAGCAAACCGGAUUAGAUACCCGGGUAGUCCCAGCUGUAAACUAUGCAAACUCAGUGAUGCAUUGGCUUGUGGCCAAUGCAGUGUUGCAGGGAAGCCGUUAAGUUUGCCGCCUGGGAAGUACGUACGCAAGUAUGAAACUUAAAGGAAUUGGCGGGGGAGCACCACAAGGGGUGAAGCCUGCGGUUCAAUUGGAGUCAACGCCGGA
This 914-nucleotide ribosomal RNA is filed under the name uncultured archaeon. Its description in RNAcentral is "bacterial SSU rRNA". It matches the Rfam family "Archaeal small subunit ribosomal RNA", at positions 1 to 922 of the family's 1478-position model. The record is from RNAcentral.